Molecule: ribosomal RNA, 495 nt
Filed under: uncultured bacterium
Lineage: Bacteria
Description: partial 16S ribosomal RNA
Rfam family: Bacterial small subunit ribosomal RNA
Source: RNAcentral
GACGAACGCUGGCGGCGUGCCUAAUACGUGCAAGUAGAACGCUGAAGGAGGAGCUUGCUCUUCUGGAUGAGUUGCGAACGGGUGAGUAACGCAUAGGUAACCUGCCUGGUAGCGGGGGAUAACUAUUGGAAACGAUAGCUAAUACCGCAUAAGAGUAGAUGUUGCAUGACAUUUGCUUAAAAGUUGCAAUUGCAUCACUACCAGCUGGACCUGCGUUGUAUUAACUAGUUGGUGGGGUAACGGCCCACCAAGGCGGAGAUACAUAGCCGACCUGAGAGGGUGAUCGGCCAAACUGGGAAUGAGACACGGCACAGACUCCUACGGGAGGCAGCAGGAGGGGAUCUUCGGCAAUGGACGGAAGGCUGACCGAGCAAAGCCGCGUGAGUGAAGAAGGUUUUCGGAUCGUAAAGCUCUGUUGUAAGAGAAGAAAGAGUGUGAGAGUGGAAAGUUCACACUGUGACGGUACCUUAACAGAAAGGGACGGCUAACUACGUG